UGAGAUGAAGGCCCUUGCCGUGUGAUGA
Molecule: non-coding RNA, 28 nt
Filed under: Homo sapiens (human)
Lineage: Eukaryota; Metazoa; Chordata; Mammalia; Primates; Hominidae
Source: RNAcentral